CAGAGGGGGCAAGCGUUGUUCGGAAUUACUGGGCGUAAAGGGCGCGUAGGCGGCCUUCUAAGUCGAACGUGAAAUCCCUGGGCUCAACCCAGGAACUGCGUCCGAUACUGGGAGGCUUGAAUCCGGGAGAGGGAUGCGGAAUUCCAGGUGUAGCGGUGAAAUGCGUAGAUAUCUGGAGGAACACCGGUGGCGAAGGCGGCAUCCUGGACCGGUAUUGACGCUGAGGCGCGAAAGCCAGGGGAGCAAACGGG
RNAcentral lists this ribosomal RNA (251 nucleotides) under uncultured bacterium. RNAcentral's name for it is "partial 16S ribosomal RNA". It matches the Rfam family "Bacterial small subunit ribosomal RNA", at positions 526 to 776 of the family's 1533-position model. The record is from RNAcentral.